RNAcentral lists this ribosomal RNA (700 nucleotides) under uncultured Pelobacter sp. RNAcentral's name for it is "bacterial SSU rRNA". It matches the Rfam family "Bacterial small subunit ribosomal RNA", at positions 417 to 1106 of the family's 1533-position model. Lineage: Bacteria; Pseudomonadati; Thermodesulfobacteriota; Desulfuromonadia; Desulfuromonadales; Desulfuromonadaceae. The record is from RNAcentral.
UUCGGAUUGUAAACUCCUGUUGCCCGGGACGAACGGCUCUGACCUAACACGUCGGAGUUUGACGGUACCGGGUGAGGAAGCCCCGGCUAACUCUGUGCCAGCAGCCGCGGUAAUACAGAGGGGGCAAGCGUUGUUCGGAAUUACUGGGCGUAAAGGGCGCGUAGGCGGCCUGCUAAGUCGGACGUGAAAUCCCCGGGCUCAACCCGGGAACUGCGUCCGAUACUGGUUGGCUUGAAUUCGGGAGAGGGAUGCGGAAUUCCAGGUGUAGCGGUGAAAUGCGUAGAUAUCUGGAGGAACACCGGUGGCGAAGGCGGCAUCCUGGACCGACAUUGACGCUGAGGCGCGAAAGCCAGGGGAGCAAACGGGAUUAGAUACCCUGGUAGUCCUAGCCGUAAACGGUGCACGUUUGCUGUAAGAGGAAUCGACCCCUUUUGUGGCGAAGCUAACGCGAUAAACGUGCCGCCUGGGAAGUACGGUCGCAAGAUUAAAACUCAAAGAAAUUGACGGGGGCCUGCACAAGCGGUGGAGUAUGUGGCUUAAUUCGAUGCAACGCGAAGAACCUUACCUGGCCUUGACAUGCAUGUGGUAGAACCAUGAAAGUGGGACGACCCCGCAAGGGGAGCAUGCACAGGUGCUGCAUGGCUGUCGUCAGCUCGUGUCGUGAGAUGUUGGGUUAAGUCCCGCAACGAGCGCAACCCUU